CAAAUGCUGAGACAUCAGGUUUGACGUAAAUGUUUUUGUUUUUUUAAACUCUAUUGAGAAAUUAUAACGUUAGUACAACACCUCACUUAAAAGUAUAGCGCAGUCUUUAAACCAGAUCCCCAAAAUGUAUUUUCACGUCGUUCUUGUUCUAGACGACCUGCUCUAUGCCCUUGUUUACUUCCAUUAUAAACAACUGUACAGCAGCGUUGUAGUCUGCGUGAUACUAUAGGAAAAGUCAAGGAUUCCCAUAUACCCACUAACGAGAGCGCGAUGACACGUAACAACAUCAUCGUGACAGAACGUUGUCACUUUCAUUCAUAAAUUCACACCCGUCUGUGUGUACAGUCAGAGCCAUUCUCUAUUCCUCUAUACACUGUGAGAAUCUAUAUAUCUAUUACUCAUAAUCAGAAAUGUGAUCAAUUGAAGCAGUGAAACAUGGGACAUGUCACGGUCUGACUCGGCUUUGGAGGUGUGGUUUCAGGCUGGGAGAGCAGGUUUCCGUGGUUACCUGGGCGGAGUCUGGUGGCUGCCUGCGGUCACAGCUGAACCCCUCUUAAGGAACAGCAGGAGCACCAGUCUUCGCCAGAUCGUUUUGCCUUCCUAGUGCCUGCUUCUCGGAACCUGACGGAUUCCCCGGCUUCCCCUCUCGCCCUCCGCGGCUUGAGAGAACUCCUCCAGCCAGCCGGAUCUUUACCUUUCCCUCCAGCGUGGGUUCUAUCUACCGCACCGCUCCUGCCGCCUGGACCCCUGUGCCUCUCCAGCAUCUUCCCCGGCCACGGAUCCCGAACUAAGUCCCUCUGCUGCCAAAAAUAAAAUCUUUUAUUUCUCUGGAUCCUGCUUUUGAGUCCAACCCUCGUUCUGGCUAUCACCCCAUGACAGGACAUCCAAAUAAACCAAGAGAACUUUACGAAGAGCACGACAUGCAGGGGCUUUCCAGAUGUUCUCUGCACCGCAACGAGACAGUGUGUGAGAUGGUGGAUGCUCGACUGCAGCAUGUGGUGUUCUUGCAGAGGCCAUUUUUUCAGAAUAUAACUUAAUGGCCAUUUAAUAAAAACUCAUUAUGAAGCAGCUGAUCUGUGGACCCGCUGUUUAAGUGCUUCUCAAAGCUUCUUUAAACGCUGUCCGAUCCUUUAGUUGCG
Long non-coding RNA from Gasterosteus aculeatus aculeatus (three-spined stickleback), 1139 nucleotides. The record is from Ensembl. NCBI's taxonomy places the organism in Eukaryota, Metazoa, Chordata, Actinopteri, Perciformes, Gasterosteidae.